AUUCCAGCUCCAAUAGCGUAUAUUAAAGUUGUUGCAGUUAAAAAGCUCGUAGUUGGAUUUGUGGUGUGUGUUAUGGCGACCAUUGAUUUGGUUUUGCCGUGAGCACGCCAUCCUUGGGUGGAUUUUGUGUGGCAUUAGGUUGUCGUGCAAGGGAUACCCAUCGUUUACUGUGAAGAAAUUAGAGUGUUCAAAGCAGGCUUAUGCCGUUGAAUAUAUUAGCAUGGAAUAAUAAGAUAGGUCUUUGGUCCUAUUUUGUUGGUUUGCGGGCCAGAGAAAUGAUUAACAGGGACAGUUGGGGGUAUUCGUAUUCCAUUGUCAGAGGUGAAAUUCUUGGAUUUCUGGAAGACGAACUACUGCGAAAGCAUUUACCAAGGAUGUUUUC
This 382-nucleotide ribosomal RNA is filed under the name Stauroneis acidoclinatopsis. RNAcentral's name for it is "SSU rRNA". It matches the Rfam family "Eukaryotic small subunit ribosomal RNA", at positions 582 to 971 of the family's 1831-position model. The record is from RNAcentral. Lineage: Eukaryota; Bacillariophyta; Bacillariophyceae; Naviculales; Stauroneidaceae.